UCGGGUAGGUUGCCGAUGCUCGUCGCAGACCGGCGGCACGRGGCGGCUUUUCGGGCGGUCCCGCGGCGGUCCCGUACCCUCCGCGAAGAGGGCGGACGCGAGGCUGCCGGCGGGCGGCCAGCGUCGCGGCCGAACGCUGCGUCGUUGUGACUGAGGGCGAGGUGCGUUACGCCGUCUCCGUCGGUUAGCCGUGCCUGCGCGUGUUCGUGGAGCGACGGGCCGGUCGAGAGUGGCGCUCGGAUCCCGCCGCCGGCCGGCCGUGAACCGAGACGGCGGGCGCAAGGUGCGACCUGCGGACCGCGCAGACCCUCCGGCCCGACGGAACGGUCGCACGACCAUC
This 340-nucleotide ribosomal RNA is filed under the name Octopus cyanea. Its description in RNAcentral is "partial 28S ribosomal RNA". The record is from RNAcentral. Lineage: Eukaryota; Metazoa; Mollusca; Cephalopoda; Octopoda; Octopodidae.